CCUACGGGUGGUUGCAGUGGGGAAUAUUGGACAAUGGGCGAAAGCCUGAUCCAGCCAUGCCGCGUGUGUGAAGAAGGCCUUCGGGUUGUAAAGCACUUUCAGUGGGGAAGAAAGCCUUGGGGCUAAUACCCUCGAGGAAGGACAUCACCCACAGAAGAAGCACCGGCUAACUCCGUGCCAGCAGCCGCGGUAAUACGGAGGGUGCGAGCGUUAAUCGGAAUUACUGGGCGUAAAGCGCGCGUAGGCGGUCUGAUAAGCCGGUUGUGAAAGCCCCGGGCUCAACCUGGGAACGGCAUCCGGAACUGUCAGGCUAGAGUGCAGGAGAGGAAGGUAGAAUUCCCGGUGUAGCGGUGAAAUGCGUAGAGAUCGGGAGGAAUACCAGUGGCGAAGGCGGCCUUCUGGACUGACACUGACGCUGAGGUGCGAAAGCGUGGGUAGCAAACAGGAUUAGAUACCCGGGUAGUC
This 465-nucleotide ribosomal RNA is filed under the name Vreelandella stevensii. RNAcentral describes it as "partial 16S ribosomal RNA". It matches the Rfam family "Bacterial small subunit ribosomal RNA", at positions 338 to 795 of the family's 1533-position model. Lineage: Bacteria; Pseudomonadati; Pseudomonadota; Gammaproteobacteria; Oceanospirillales; Halomonadaceae. The record is from RNAcentral.